GGGACCCCAUCAACGUAGAGAACCUACUGCCAUCAAAAAUAAGGAUCAAUCUAGAAGAAAAUGUACAGUAAUUUACCACUAGACUGUGAGCUCCGCGAGAGACAUUUGUUCAUAGUCGCUCUCAGCGCCCUGUACCACGCCUAGUCCAAAACAAGCGCCCAGUGAAUGUCCAGCAAACUCAUGAAUGGGCGAGUGCAACGUGGGGCUGAUGGAACCUGGUUUGUGCAGAAGUCUGGGAGCAUCCUUAGUGUGUUAAACCUCUCCUGCUUUACAAGAGAUUUGAAGCAGCCUGAAAUAACAAUCAUGUAUACAAAGUAGGGAUCCAAAAUUAAAGUAUU
This 338-nucleotide long non-coding RNA is filed under the name Rattus norvegicus (Norway rat). RNAcentral describes it as "long non-coding RNA NONRATT024157". The record is from RNAcentral. Lineage: Eukaryota; Metazoa; Chordata; Mammalia; Rodentia; Muridae.